This 175-nucleotide ribosomal RNA is filed under the name uncultured Cellvibrio sp. RNAcentral describes it as "partial 16S ribosomal RNA". It matches the Rfam family "Bacterial small subunit ribosomal RNA", at positions 600 to 774 of the family's 1533-position model. Lineage: Bacteria; Pseudomonadati; Pseudomonadota; Gammaproteobacteria; Cellvibrionales; Cellvibrionaceae. The record is from RNAcentral.
UCCCCGGGCUCAACCUGGGCACUGCAGUUGAAACUGGCAAGCUAGAGUAGGGUAGAGGGGGGUGGAAUUCCAGGUGUAGCGGUGAAAUGCGUAGAUAUCUGGAGGAACAUCGGUGGCGAAGGCGACACCCUGGACUCAUACUGACACUGAGGUGCGAAAGCGUGGGGAGCAAACA